CACAUAUAACAUCUGUAAAUGUACAUAUGUAUACUUGUACAUAUAUGUAUGUGUAUAUAUAAAUAUGUACAUACAUAUAUACAUAUAUAUAUACAUAUGUAAUGUGUGCGUGUGUAUGUAUAUAAUAUAUUUAGAUAAAAAUACAGUGGUAUCACAUGUUAUUUAUAAAGAAAGACGGGAAUUCUUUUUUUCCAAAGUACUAUUUAAUAUGUAUGAGAAUUACUCUUAAUCACUUAUCACCACACUAGCAUGUGCAUUCCAAUGUACAGGAUACAAUCGCUUUUUUAUUCAUACAGGAAAACCUGGUGAUAUAAUAUAUAUAUAUAUAUAUAUAUAUAUAUAUAUAUAUAUAUAUAUAUAUAUAUAUAUGUUAAUGUAUGUAUAUGUAUACAUAUAUACACAUAUGUAUGUAUUUAUGUAUGUAAGUAUACAUAUAUAUAUACAUAUGCAUGUAUUUAUAUAUAUAUAUUAUGCAUUUGUAUGUGUGUGUGUGUCAACAUUUGUAAUAAAAUAAUAGACUAGUUAUAAACAAAAUCUGCAAAUGGAAGCUUUUUCGAAACAGAUAAUCCCCAUUUCUCAAUUGGUCCUCAGUCAUACUUACCUUGUUUUGUAUGGAAAAUAUCAACUUGAGUCUGAUUGAACUGACGGAUCUUUGUUCUCUAGGCUACAAUCUGAAACACAUAAACACAAUAUUUAAGACACACAAUGACAAACAGAUGAAUUAUUUCGAAAAAUUCCCCUAUAGAAAAUAUGUGGCUAACUUUUCAAAACAUAUUCAAGUUUGUAAUAAUGGUAAAUAAACUAAUUUUGUAGGUAUAUAAAAUUAAAAAAAAAAAUGUUCCCUUAUAUGAUUUGAGUAUAUAAAAUCUGUGAUACCAGUUUGAUUCAUGGUUUCAGAGUUUCACUCUUCUACGCAUAUUCGUAUCUCAUAGUCCAUAACAGCUUUUGCCCUGUAGUCCAUAAAACAAUGACCUACAUUAAGAAUUAUGAAACUAAAAAUUCAGAAUUUCAGAAAAUAAUAAAUUUCAAAGAGACAAAAGAAACAAUCACCAAUGUAAAGUAAAAAUGAAAACAUAUAUAAAAUGAAAAUAUGGAAAUUGAGAUAAAAAUCAAUAUUAAACAAAGAAAUUAGAAUUGUAAAAACUGAAAUUAGUCUUAAAUGCGCAAAUAUUUCGUCAAUAUUAAUGCUAAGCUUUCAAGAUACAAUCCACAUACGACCAACUUUAUGUCAGAAUUCUGCUAAUAAAACGUUUUUAGAAUGAUUGAAAUUGCAUUCAUCUAGAUAUCAUUUUAUAAAAAAAUUAUCCAUAAAAUUAAUACUAUCUAUCAAUAAAAAUGAGCUAUGAACGUUUAAAUGUUUUUAUUGGCGGAUUUGGUACUCGGUUAGAGAUAUGCAACAGAUAAGUAAAGUUUAUAUAAUUCUUAGGUUUGUUCACAGUUUAGGAUACAAAUAGCUGCGGUAAUAUGAAAUUAAUUCUCAGAUACAAAAAUAAAUGAAUAAAUAAAAUAAAAAAAUCACAAAGAACUGGGCCAGAAAAAAUAUCUACAGUUAAUUUACGAAGAAUAUGCACUUAUAUUAUUGUGAAACUUAAAAUACGGAAGUAA
RNAcentral lists this long non-coding RNA (1605 nucleotides) under Octopus sinensis (East Asian common octopus). RNAcentral's name for it is "uncharacterized LOC118762868". Lineage: Eukaryota; Metazoa; Mollusca; Cephalopoda; Octopoda; Octopodidae. The record is from RNAcentral.